GGUGAGAUGGUUCAGUGGUUAAGAGCACUGGCUACUCUUCCAGAGGACUCAGGUUCAAUUCCUGGCACCC
Molecule: transfer RNA, 70 nt
Filed under: Cricetulus griseus (Chinese hamster)
Lineage: Eukaryota; Metazoa; Chordata; Mammalia; Rodentia; Cricetidae
Rfam family: tRNA
About the family: Transfer RNA (tRNA) molecules are approximately 80 nucleotides in length. Their secondary structure includes four short double-helical elements and three loops (D, anti-codon, and T loops). Further hydrogen bonds mediate the characteristic L-shaped molecular structure. tRNAs have two regions of fundamental functional importance: the anti-codon, which is responsible for specific mRNA codon recognition, and the 3' end, to which the tRNAs corresponding amino acid is attached (by aminoacyl-tRNA synthetases). tRNAs cope with the degeneracy of the genetic code in two manners: having more than one tRNA (with a specific anti-codon) for a particular amino acid; and 'wobble' base-pairing, i.e. permitting non-standard base-pairing at the 3rd anti-codon position.
Source: Rfam by way of RNAcentral